This is a non-coding RNA of Arachis ipaensis, 721 nucleotides long. Lineage: Eukaryota; Viridiplantae; Streptophyta; Magnoliopsida; Fabales; Fabaceae. The record is from RefSeq and is a predicted model, not a curated record.
CACCUACAAUUAAAACCGUCUAGACAGGUACGAAUACUUUCUUCCCCAAAAGCCCGCAAUUUUAACAUCAUUUUCACUUUACUUUGCUGGCCACAGCCAGAGAUUUGCUUCUGAAACCUUUUCUCUUUCACUUUUAGAGAUGAUGAUACUCCAAUUUGGUGCCUCUAUUGGCUACAACAUGAUGGCAACUUCAACCCUGCACCACUUCUGAAGAAGUGUUCAGAUUAACGAAGACAAAUUCAGAAUGAAGACUGCAACAAACAUUAUCAAUUCAGAAACCAAUCAGAACAAGCUAGAAGUCAAAGUCAAUAGUGAAAUGGCAUGGUGCGAACUUCUUCGCACUGUUGCCUAGCUUGCGCCCUCCCAACUUAUGUCACUGUCUUUUUUGCAUGGCAUAAAUCUUUAUUUUCUCGGAUGCCAUGACAACUUAUGUCAAGUUUCUUUUCCUUUGUUUUGUUAAGCAUGUAUGUGUUAUCCUCGGCUCCUUGGGUCCAAGACACUUGAAGUGGCUCUGAUGCCACAUGUGUCUUUUCAUCUGUAUGACUUCUUAGCAUAGUUAGGAAUAAGUUUGAUUGAUGCUGUUGUGUUUUGUGGAGAAGCGUGGUCCCGCUUGUGAGCAGGAGCACACAAUCCACAUUCACCUUUUGUAUGGAUUAUGUCAAUAUGAAUGAAUGCAAGCAGUGGUCUCUAAAGUUAGUCUGUCUUUCUUACAUUGUAAGCA